GGUGUGUUGGCAGAAUAGUGCAAUCGACUUAGGAUCGAUUUAUGGAAUAAUCCACACACUA
RNAcentral lists this transfer RNA (61 nucleotides) under Amynthas hupeiensis. RNAcentral describes it as "tRNA-Leu1". Lineage: Eukaryota; Metazoa; Annelida; Clitellata; Crassiclitellata; Megascolecidae. The record is from RNAcentral.